Molecule: ribosomal RNA, 440 nt
Filed under: uncultured bacterium
Lineage: Bacteria
Description: partial 16S ribosomal RNA
Rfam family: Bacterial small subunit ribosomal RNA
Source: RNAcentral
CCUACGGGUGGCAGCAGUGGGGAAUAUUGCACAAUGGGGGAAACCCUGACGCAGCGACGCCGCGUGAGUGAAGAAGGAUUUCGGUAUGUAAAGCUCUAUCAGCAGGGACGAAAAUGACGGUAGCGGAUAAAGAAGCACCGGCUAACUACGUGCCAGCAGCCGCGGUAAUACGUAGGGGGCGAGCGUUGUCCGGAUUUACUGGGCGUAAAGGGAGUGUAGGCGGGAGCGCAAGUCAGAGGUGAAAUGCCGGGGCUUAACCCCGGAACUGCUUUGGAAACUGUGCAGCUAGAGUGAAGGAGAGGUAAGUGGAAUUCCCAGUGUAGCGGUGAAAUGCGUAGAUAUUAGGAGGAACACCAGUGGCGAAGGCGGCUUACUGGACUGUUACUGACGUUGAGGCUCGAAAGCGUGGGGAGCAAACAGGAUUAGAUACCCGAGUAGUC